GCUUACGGCCACACCGCCUGGUUCACGCUUGAUCUCGGAAGCUAAGAUAGGUUGGGCCUGGUUAGUACUUGGAUGGGGAGACCGCCUGGGAAUACCAGGUGCUGUAGGCU
This is a ribosomal RNA of Scophthalmus maximus (turbot), 110 nucleotides long. The record is from Ensembl. NCBI's taxonomy places the organism in Eukaryota, Metazoa, Chordata, Actinopteri, Pleuronectiformes, Scophthalmidae.